GUGUUCACUUCAGCAGCACAUAUACUAGAACUGGAACAAUAAAGAGAAGAUUAGCAUGGCCCUGUGCAAGAAUAACAUGCAAAUUUGUGAAGUGUCCAAUACUUUU
Suncus etruscus (white-toothed pygmy shrew) is the source of this 106-nucleotide small nuclear RNA. The record is from RefSeq and is a predicted model, not a curated record. Lineage: Eukaryota; Metazoa; Chordata; Mammalia; Eulipotyphla; Soricidae.